RNAcentral lists this unclassified non-coding RNA (163 nucleotides) under Fusarium hostae. RNAcentral describes it as "partial internal transcribed spacer 2". The record is from RNAcentral. Lineage: Eukaryota; Fungi; Ascomycota; Sordariomycetes; Hypocreales; Nectriaceae. RNAcentral also lists the same sequence under 2 other names.
CAACCCUCAAGCCCUCGGGUUUGGUGUUGGGGAUCGGCGAGCCUUUCUGGCAAGCCGGCCCCGAAAUCUAGUGGCGGUCUCGCUGCAGCCUCCAUUGCGUAGUAGUAAAACCCUCGCAACUGGAACGCGGCGCGGCCAAGCCGUUAAACCCCCAACUUCUGAA